Molecule: small nuclear RNA, 180 nt
Filed under: Cottoperca gobio
Lineage: Eukaryota; Metazoa; Chordata; Actinopteri; Perciformes; Bovichtidae
Description: U1 spliceosomal RNA (ENSCGOG00000005856.1)
Rfam family: U1 spliceosomal RNA
About the family: U1 is a small nuclear RNA (snRNA) component of the spliceosome (involved in pre-mRNA splicing). Its 5' end forms complementary base pairs with the 5' splice junction, thus defining the 5' donor site of an intron.
Source: Rfam by way of RNAcentral
AUACUUACCUGGCAGGAGAGAUACCAUGAUCAAUAAGGUGGUUCACCCAGGAUGAGGCUUGGCCAUUGCACUCCAGCUGAACUGACCUCUGCGAAUUCUCCAAAUGUUGCAAUCUCCAAAUGUUGGAAUCUCGACUGCAAAAUUUGUGGUAGUGGGGGACUGUGUUUGUGCUCUCCCCUG